AGCCUCCUGGUACUUACCACAUGCUGUGUUCUUAGGCUAACUAUAUAGAAAGCAGGAGCAGAAUAACCCUACCCCAUGUAUACCUCAGUACAGGCCCUAUGCUGUGUCUGUAUUGUGAAUGGGGAGACAUGA
This is a non-coding RNA of Dipodomys ordii (Ord's kangaroo rat), 132 nucleotides long. The record is from Rfam. Lineage: Eukaryota; Metazoa; Chordata; Mammalia; Rodentia; Heteromyidae.